GUGCUUGCACAUCGCUGACGAGUGGCGGACGGGUGAGUAAUGCUUGGGAACUUGCCUUUGCGAGGGGGAUAACAGUUGGAAACGACUGCUAAUACCGCAUAAUGUUUUCGAACCAAACGGGGCUUCGGCUCCGGCGCAAAGAGAGGCCCAAGUGAGAUUAGCUAGUUGGUGAGGUAAAGGCUCACCAAGGCGACGAUCUCUAGCUGUUCUGAGAGGAAGAUCAGCCACACUGGGACUGAGACACGGCCCAGACUCCUACGGGAGGCAGCAGUGGGGAAUAUUGCACAAUGGGGGAAACCCUGAUGCAGCCAUGCCGCGUGUGUGAAGAAGGCCUUCGGGUUGUAAAGCACUUUCAGUUGUGAGGAAAAGUUAGUAGUUAAUACCUGCUAGCCGUGACGUUAACAACAGAAGAAGCACCGGCUAACUCCGUGCCAGCAGCCGCGGUAAUACGGAGGGUGCGAGCGUUAAUCGGAAUUACUGGGCGUAAAGCGCACGCAGGCGGUUUGUUAAGCUAGAUGUGAAAGCCCCGGGCUCAACCUGGGAUGGUCAUUUAGAACUGGCAGACUAGAGUCUUGGAGAGGGGAGUGGAAUUCCAGGUGUAGCGGUGAAAUGCGUAGAUAUCUGGAGGAACAUCAGUGGCGAAGGCGACUCCCUGGCCAAAGACUGACGCUCAUGUGCGAAAAGUGUGGGUAGCGAACAGGAUUAGAUACCC
RNAcentral lists this ribosomal RNA (712 nucleotides) under uncultured bacterium. RNAcentral's name for it is "bacterial SSU rRNA". It matches the Rfam family "Bacterial small subunit ribosomal RNA", at positions 76 to 787 of the family's 1533-position model. The record is from RNAcentral.